AAUAUUGGUCAAUGGAGGCAACUCUGCACCAGCCAAGCCGCGUGAAGGAUGACUGCCCUACGGGUUGUAAACUUCUUUUUUCAGGGAAUAAAGUGAGCCACGUGCGGCCUCUUGCAUGUCCCUUACGAAUAAGGAUCCGCUAACUCCGUGCCAGCAGCCGCGGUAAUACGGAGGAUCCGAGCGUUAUCCGGAUUUAUUGGGUUUAAAGGGUGCGCAGGCGGAAUAUUAAGUCGGCGGUGAAAGUUUGCAGCUUAACUGUAAAAUUGCCGUUGAAACUGGUUUUCUUGAGUGUAUAUGAAGUAGGCGGAAUUUGUAGUGUAGCGGUGAAAUGCAUAGAUAUUACAAGGAACUCCGAUUGCGAAGGCAGCUUACUAAAAUACAACUGACGCUCAGGCACGAAGGCGUGGGUAUCAAACA
This 417-nucleotide ribosomal RNA is filed under the name uncultured bacterium. RNAcentral describes it as "partial 16S ribosomal RNA". It matches the Rfam family "Bacterial small subunit ribosomal RNA", at positions 360 to 774 of the family's 1533-position model. The record is from RNAcentral.